Molecule: ribosomal RNA, 552 nt
Filed under: Pseudogekko compresicorpus (Philippine false gecko)
Lineage: Eukaryota; Metazoa; Chordata; Lepidosauria; Squamata; Gekkonidae
Description: LSU rRNA
Rfam family: Bacterial large subunit ribosomal RNA
Source: RNAcentral
GGCCUUUAGCUCCACAAGUAUUAAAGGUCCCGCCUGCCCAGUGAAUUCCCUUAAAUUAAACGGCCGCGGUAUCAUAACCGUGCAAAGGUAGCGUAAUCACUUGUCUACUAAAUAUAGACCCGUAUGAACGACUAGAUGAGGGCACACCUGUCUCCUGGGGCCAGUCAAUAAAACUGAUCUACCAGUACAAAAGCUGAUAUAACACCAUAAGACGAGAAGACCCUGUGGAGCUUUAAAUAAACUACUAAUCCAGAAAGUAUUAACACCACCACGGUGCCACAGUAGUGGAUAUAGUAGUAAUUUUCAGUUGGGGCGACUAAGGAAUACAACAAACCUUCCAUGCAACCGAACUAAUCGUCAAUCAAGGCUGACAGGCCAAUAAUUUGACCCAGUAGUUAAACUGACCAACGAACCAAGUUACCCCAGGGAUAACAGCGCUAUCCCUUUCAAGAGUUCCUAUCGCCAAAGGGGCUUACGACCUCGAUGUUGGAUCAGGACCCCCCGGUGGUGCAGCCACUACCAAUGGUUCGUUUGUUCAACGAUUAAAGUCCU